RNAcentral lists this ribosomal RNA (999 nucleotides) under Hermatomyces thailandicus. Its description in RNAcentral is "SSU rRNA". It matches the Rfam family "Eukaryotic small subunit ribosomal RNA", at positions 114 to 1125 of the family's 1831-position model. The record is from RNAcentral. Lineage: Eukaryota; Fungi; Ascomycota; Dothideomycetes; Pleosporales; Hermatomycetaceae.
CGUUUAUUUGAUAGUACCUUACUACUUGGAUAACCGUGGUAAUUCUAGAGCUAAUACAUGCUAAAACCCCGACUUCGGGAGGGUGUAUUUAUUAGAUAAAAAACCAAUGCCCUUCGGGGCUCUUUGGUGAUUCAUGAUAACUUAACGGAUCGCAUGGCCUUGCGCCGGCGACGGUUCAUUCAAAUUUCUGCCCUAUCAACUUUCGAUGGUAAGGUAUUGGCUUACCAUGGUUUCAACGGGUAACGGGGAAUUAGGGUUCGAUUCCGGAGAGGGAGCCUGAGAAACGGCUACCACAUCCAAGGAAGGCAGCAGGCGCGCAAAUUACCCAAUCCCGACUCGGGGAGGUAGUGACAAUAAAUACUGAUACAGGGCUCUUUUGGGUCUUGUAAUCGGAAUGAGUACAAUUUAAACCCCUUAACGAGGAACAAUUGGAGGGCAAGUCUGGUGCCAGCAGCCGCGGUAAUUCCAGCUCCAAUAGCGUAUAUUAAAGUUGUUGCAGUUAAAAAGCUCGUAGUUGAACCUUGGGCCUGGCUGGCCGGUCCGCCUCACCGCGUGUACUGGUCCGGCCGGGCCUUUCCUUCUGGAGAGCCGCAUGCCCUUCACUGGGUGUGUUGGGGAACCAGGACUUUUACUUUGAAAAAAUUAGAGUGUUCAAAGCAGGCCUUUGCUCGAAUACGUUAGCAUGGAAUAAUAGAAUAGGACGUGCGGUCCUAUUUUGUUGGUUUCUAGGACCGCCGUAAUGAUUAAUAGGGAUAGUCGGGGGCAUCAGUAUUCAAUUGUCAGAGGUGAAAUUCUUGGAUUUAUUGAAGACUAACUACUGCGAAAGCAUUUGCCAAGGAUGUUUUCAUUAAUCAGUGAACGAAAGUUAGGGGAUCGAAGACGAUCAGAUACCGUCGUAGUCUUAACCGUAAACUAUGCCGACUAGGGAUCGGGCGAUGUUUCUAUCUUGACUCGCUCGGCACCUUACGAGAAAUCAAAGUUUUUGGGUCUGGGGGAGUA